CAACUCUUAGAUAACUGUCAAAUGGGGAUACUUGGGUGAUUAAACCCCUUGGCUGUUUAUUAAUUACUUUUUAAAGGCAUUAAUGGUGUAAGACACACAAUAAUUCUUUUGGAGUCUGACAUGUGAUAUUACAGGGAACUUGGGCCGGUUGCUUCUCCACUGAGAGGGGAGGGUUGGAAAGCAUAGUCGUUAUUAUAUUUUACUGUAUAUCUGAAAAAAUGAAUUUGACAAGGACGUGCUUGCUGGUGGGGAAAAGGUUCAGGAAGACGACCUGAAGAGCUCUAGGACUCAGACGAAGCUUCCCCUGCAGCCUGGGAGUGUUGUAGGGAUAUGAAAGUCAGCACUAACACUGCACAACUGGCUUCUGAAUGUCCACAAUGACUGAAGUCAACUACAAAUCAACAAGCCCUCUUCCUGUUGAGAAAAGAUCAUGGAUUACUUACCAUUUGUGUCCUGACAUGUCUUCCUCCUCUUUUUCUACUGUUGAUGAUUUGGGGAGAAGGAGCAGGAUGAAGCAUGAGAGGGUAUGUUACAUUAAACCUGAAAUAAAACAAAUUCAUGUAAUAGUUA
Non-coding RNA from Oryctolagus cuniculus (rabbit), 570 nucleotides. NCBI's taxonomy places the organism in Eukaryota, Metazoa, Chordata, Mammalia, Lagomorpha, Leporidae. The record is from RefSeq and is a predicted model, not a curated record.